Molecule: long non-coding RNA, 8267 nt
Filed under: Lupinus angustifolius (narrow-leaved blue lupine)
Lineage: Eukaryota; Viridiplantae; Streptophyta; Magnoliopsida; Fabales; Fabaceae
Description: long non-coding RNA (LANG_LNC000028)
Source: RNAcentral
AUAGCUAUAGAUACUUGGUGUACUCGUUGUGUGAUUUUUAAUUAGAUGUGUGAGGAAUGUGUUAAACUUCAUAAAGGUGCACUAUUUAAUUCUAGAUUCGUUAAGCAAGAUAUGUUGGUAUUAAGCUGGUAACAUUUCAUUGUUUUCUUCAUAAUCGUUCCAGUUACGUCCUUUGAAUAUAUGAUAAAUUGUUAUGGAUUAAACCCUCAACUUAGAUUAUUGAUAUGAGCAUAAGGAUAUGAUAUGUGGUUUACAAUGAAUAACAUUCAUUUCUAUUUGUUAGUGCUUGAAUGAAUAGGGCAUGUGACUUACCUGAUUUACGUUUCGUUCUUUUAUCCCUUUUGCGUGUUGAAUGCUUGUUCUCAGAGGCUUUCUUUUCUCAAUCUUUGCUCUCUGAGUGUUGGGUAAGAUAUGCCAACUCUGGAUGACCUCCCACUCUCUGCGUUUUGCUCUCUGUUUUUCACUAUGCCCCUUAGUUUUUUCUCUGAGUUUUUUUCCUCCCCGGUUGCCUAAGCUCCUAGGCUUUUUAUAGCUGAUUAGGUGAGUCUCUUGGGUUUCCGCAUAAUGUGUUACUUGCCAUUAUUACUCUUAUCAUUAUUGUUGAUUGCAACUGAAGUUGCAAUUCAUGGUUUGAAUUUGUGAGUGAUUGAAACGACUGACCUUUGGGUUUGCAUCCACUAAUUCUCGUUUAUGAUGAAAUUAUCUGAUUGUCUCGCCCGGGCGAGGGAGCCUCACUUAAGCGAGGGAUCACAUGCUCAUUGUUUUUCUCUCGCCCGGGCGAGGGAGCCUCCCUCAAGCGAGGUAUUCCAUAACACCAAAUCCGAUUUGCACCAGUUGAGAUUCUUAUGAACAUUUUAUAUUAUUUGAGAGGCCGGACAAAAUUUAGUGUUCACUGCUGCCCCUCUUUUCUUAUUACUUAGUGGUUGGCAAGCAAACCAAUGUUUGGGUGUUAUCCCUCUAAUUAAUUAGUAAAGAAAUGAACGCCAAUUUUGUUAGAAUAGACGUAGGCAGCGAUAACCGCGCAACUUUAACCAAGACAAUGUCUAGACAAUAGAGGUGAACAUAGAUCGCAAGUUGAGUACUGCUGGAAUUUGAUAUGAUAAAAAGGUAAAGUGAGAAUGUAGGUCGGGUACUGCCGAAACUCGAUAGGAUAUUAAAGGUUAAAUUAGAAUGCAUGUCGGGUACUACUGGAACUCGAUAAGAGAAAAAGGUAAAGCGAGAACACAGGUCGGGUACUGUCGGAACUCGAUAAGAUAAAAAGGCUAAACGAGAACGCAGGUCAGGUAUUGCCGGAAAUCGAUAAGAUAAAAAGGAUAAAACGAGAACGCAUGUCGGGUACUGCCGGAACUCGAAAAUUCACAUCAGACUUUGGGUCUUGGAAAAUUAUUGAAAGCACACAAGGCUUAGGGUCUUGGAAAACAUAAUUUUAAAACAAGAACGCAGGUUGGGUACUACCGGAACUCGAUAAGAUAAAAAGGUUAAACGAGAACGCGGGUCAGGUACUGCCAGAACUCGGUAAGAUAAAAAGGUUAAAACGAGAACGCAUGUCGGGUACUACUGGAACUUGGAAAUUCACAUCAGACUCGGGGUCCUGGAAAGUUAUUGAAAGCACAUCAGGCUCAGGGUCUUGGAAAGCAAAACUUUUAAACCAGAACGCAAGUCGGGUACUGCCGGAACUCGAAAAUUCACAUCAGGCUCGGGGUCCUGGAAAGCAAAACUUUUAAACGAGAACGCAGGUCGGGUACUGCCAGAACUCGGAAAUUUACAUCAGUCUCGGGGUCCUGAAAAGAUUAGUUGGAAGCACAUCAGGCUCGGGGUCCUAGAAAGCAUAAUUUUAAAACGAGAACGCAUGUUGGGUGUUGCCGGAACUCGAGACAUUCACAUCAGGCUCGUGGUCCUGGAAAGAUUGAUUGAAAGCACAUCAGGCUCGGGAUCCUGAAGAGGAAAGAUUUUAAAAUGUAGGCUAGUGAUAUGUAAUGCUUGAGAAUAUGUCGUGUGUUAUGUCAACAAUGAUGCAAGUCAUGUCAUGUAUGAGUAAAGAAUGAAUGCAUAGAUGUCUUGGGUUAUGAUCUCAUAAUUUUCUAAAAAUCAAACAAACUGUUUUUAUGGACUUGACUGAAAUGCGACCCAUGUUGGACAUUGUUAAAAAGGACUAUCUGCCAGCUCUUGCCAUCCAUUUUUUCCUAGUGUCAUGUUAAGAAUUUAUUGGAAUAGCUGGAUCGUCCAAUAAAUUGCCCCAAUAUCUUUGUCAUAGAAAUGAUGAGAAUCAUUCUGAAUAGAGGUUAUGCCUCUCACUUCAAAAAAACUGUCCUAGUUUGCAUGGUUGAGGAUGAACAAUAAUGAAUUUUCACUUGAGGGUGUUCAUUUCUUUUCCUUAAUUUUUGCUGAGAAUACCUAGGUACAUGUUCGGAAUUCCCUCUUUUUAUUUUGAUAUUAAGUUGCUAUUGAAGGUUUUUAACUUAGUACCACUCUCCCUUUUUUUAGGUUGCCCUUGCGAGUUUUCAACCUAACACUCUUUUUUUUUUUUUUCAUUUUUGCUUGUUUUUUAUAUUGGCUAUAUUUGAACAACCUCAAGUGACAAUCAUAACUGCAUAAAAGCAUGAGUCACCCUUGAAGUUUGAAGGUGAUGAUGCAAGAUCUUGCCUCUCCUUGCUAUAGGGAUUUUGGACUGAUCCUAUGAUGAGCAACUUCAGUGUUGCCCGAGUUAUAGGUUUCUUGGUACUUUCAUUCGAGAAAUGAGGUCAGCCCCCAUAAACUACCCCUGUUUGGAUUGAUACCGUUCUUUUAAUUUCCAUUUGUCAUGUGAAUUCUCUAUGCACAACUCUUUAAAAAGAAAUACUAAACAGUGAUCAAGCAAAUUUGGAUUUUUGUUUUCGGGUUUUGAGUGUUGAUAUGGUGGUGGUGAUGAUGAUGAUGAUGAUGAGAUUUAAUCUGAUGCAUUAAAAAUGAGAUAUUUUCAUCAAAACUUUAUGAUAUUUAUUAGAGUCAUCAUUUCUUUGCCCUAAUACAUUUCUUAGGCAAAUCAUAUCGUCGACAAGGUCUUUUGAGCUUGUAUCGUGACCUGGUAAAGUUUUCCAAGAAAAAGGAUAAGGCUCGAAAAUGUGUUUCCCAAACCCCAUUUCUACGUUCUCCAUUGUCCUAUUUCAACAGUUUCCUUGACAUGACAUUCAAGUACUAAGAUUUUGAUGUAGUAGGUGAAUGUCGAAUAUUUAGGCGAUAAUCUUCCUGAGAGGUAUUUGAAUUGUUCCUUUUUGCAGUCAUUGAUAGUGCACUUUAUUUGCCCUAACUUUUGCCUGAGAUUUUUAUUGAGGAUUCUCAGCGAGCCUUUUGUAUAUUUUUCCUUUUGUUUUUUUAUAUUAUUGCGCACUUUGACCGAUGAACUUUUUAUUUGAAUUGCUUAGGAUUUUUAACCCUCGGGUUAGAUUUGGAAAUGGUAGAGUGCAUUUACUUCUUAACAAUUGAAUGUCAAGGAAAACAGUUGAGAUACUACCCUUCCCAAGGUUAUUGAUAUUUUGUGGGUUUUUUAGAAAAAAUCUCCUUUCAUGAAGCCUAGGGCUCAAAUGGGUGACUAGGGAUAUCUUCAUAGUGUUUGGGAUUUUCAAAGAUGCCUUGUGUCAUAAGAAAGAGUUGCCUUAGAACCUGCACCAUUUUGGGUCAUACAUUUGCAUCAUCCUCCGUUUCAAUUAAUGAACAUCUCAUAUAAAUGCAUGAAUUAAAUUUUUGACUUGUUCCUUUUGUAUUUUUUUUUGUGAAUGAGUUUUGUGGUAUGAAGUAUGGAAUGGAAAUUUUUAUGAUCAAUGUAUUAGUAAGUAAUUGUUAAAAAGAUGUGUAUUAGAAAACACAUCCUUAUUCAUGAAAAGAGAUAUGAGUACCCCACUAUUUAUGACUUUAAAGCCUUGGGGAGGGCGAUAGAGUUUUAUUACAUCAUUUUCUAGUGCCAUGACGACAACUUGGGGUGAUUUGUGCAUUUAUCAAACUAGGACGUUUCCUUGAAAGCGGAUCAAUCUGGUGUUAAUCAGAUAUUGCAAUUUGUUUUUUAAUUGAUCACAAUCCUCUGUGAAGUGACCAAUUUCCCCAGUAUGUUAUUCACAAUUAGAAUUUGGGUUGAAUUCUUGUGGGUAUGGAGGUUCCACCAUCUUUGUGGGGAUAGGAGUCAGCAAUGUUUUUUGAAGAAGUUGUGGCAAUAAUUUGGAGUAUGACAUCGGGAUCGGAUCAUACAAACUCUUCCUUUUUCACUUUCGUGGCCGCCCUUCUUUACCAUUUGUGAAAGAAUAACAUGAUGCUUGUGGAAAAUAAGGCAUUUGAGGUUGGCUGAGUGUCUUUGUGAAUGCGAUUUCCUCUUUCAUAUCUUCACUUGCAAGAUCGCUUUGGAUUAUCCUAUUGGCUGAGUUUUUCUCAAUUUUGUCAUUCUUGGAGUGAUUCUCAAUUCUCUCGCCUAUAGUUAUCAAAUGACGAAAAUCCGAAUAGACAUUUCCAAUCAUCAAAUCAAAGAAGGGAGGUUGUAGGGUAUUGAUAAACAUUGAAACAUUCUCUUCAUCGGACAACCUGGGCUUUACCUGAGCGGCCAAUCCCGACCAUCUUUGGACAUACUCCCUGAAGGUCUCACCAUUUCUCUUGGACAUCUUCUUGAGUAGCAUCCUAUUAGGAUCUUGGUCAAUGUUGUUGUAUUGUUUAAGGAAAGUGUUGUACAAAUCCUUGAAGCAUUUGACAUGAGAACAUUCGAGACACAUGUACCAAGUGAAAGCAGCUCCAAUAAGGCUCUCUUGGAAGACAUGGAUUAGUAGAUUGUCAUCCUCGAUAUAGGAAGUCAUCUUCCUAACUUACAUGGUGAGGUGAUCUCUAGGACAAGAAGUUCCUUGAUAUUUCUCAAAUUCGGGCAUCUUGAACUUUGGUGGCAAUAUCAUCUUCGGGACCAGAUACAUGCUUGUAACGUCCUUCAAACUAUGGAAACUUGCUUCCUCAACAACUUAAUUCUCUUUUCGAUUGCCUUAAUCUUUUCCCAAUAUUGAGGAUUUAUAAAAUUGUGGGACUUAGAGGAAUGAUUGGGAUUACCAUCAACAACUGGGGUUUCCAUAUGAUAUGAAAUUUGCAAAUCUGUUUUUGGGGAUGGUGUAUCAAUAUGAGUAGCUGGUUUAUCUUGUGUAGUCUCGAGAGUAAGAUUUCUUCUUCCUUCUUAAAUCGUUUCAGUCAAGUCCAAUAAUAUCACCUUUAAAAAUCAAUUUUCAACUCAUGAGUAUCCCUCAUUGUGAUUUAUGCAUGAGAUACAUGAAUGAUUGAAAUGUAUGAAUGUCAUGAGGAUGUAAUUUUUGAUUCAUGCAAUAUGUAUGCAUGUUAUAAUUUUCCUUCUUUUUGAGUUCAUAUGACGAUGCAUGAACUGAUUUAUUUUUCUUUUUUCGAUAUUUUGUGGUGGUGUAUGCAAUGCAUGUACGUUGGUGCAUGAAAUGCAACAUUUGAAUGAUUUAUUAUGUUAUUAAGAAUGUAUAUAAAUGAAGAUGAAUGUGUGAUGAUAUAUUAUUUUUUGUAUGAAUGAUAGACGAAUGUUUGAUUUUUUUGGUUUUUGAUUUUCUGAGUGUGCGUAUAAAUGAAUGUGUGAAUGAUUUUUUUUUUUUUACUUUUGACUUAUUAUAUGAAUGUAUGAAUGCUUGAAUCAUAUAAAUUUUGGAAUGAUGUAUAUUUUUUGUAAAUGUUUGAAUUAUGCAUGUAUAAAUGGAUGAAUGAUUUCUUUUAUUUUUUAUGAAUGUUUUAAUGAUGUAUAUUUUGUAUGAGUGAAUGACAUGCAUGAACUUGAUAUAUUGGUGUCAAUGCAUUUUGAGUGCCCCUAGAGUACGAUACCCUAGAGUAAGAUGGAAGAGAACAUAUCCCUAGGGCGAUGAGCCCAUCGACAGGAAUGAAAAUUGUCCCUAGGGCGUUGAGCCCAUAGUAGGGAAUGAAAAAUUAUCCCUAGAGCACUUAGCCCAUGGUAGGGAAUGAAAAUUAAAAUUACCCCGAGGGUGCUUAGUCCAUAGUAGGGAAUGGAAAUUAUUUAGCCGUCCUUAUAGAAUAAGGACAUCAAAGUGCAAUGAUAUCAUCGUAACACUCAGACUGUUUAGGGACAAAAGUUUCAAUUUAUGAAUAAUGAUGCACAAAAUUUAGAUUAUGCUUCCCGUGUCCUAAAGAAGGUACACUCACAAGGUUCUGGAUAUUCUAAAGGUCACAACCUUAUGGUGAGGGUACUAGGUCUUGAUUAAAGUGGACUCGGUAAGAACUUUAGACUUCUAGGUUAUCAUAUCGCAUCCGAUCCCGAAGGAAAGGAAACUAAAUAUCACGGGCUAGUAACGAGAGGGAUCGAGCCCUCCAAGCCGCUAACUCAUGAUACCAGCAACGAUCUGGGUGGUCCAUUCUGCAAAUACCAGAUAUGACUCGAAGUCAUUUACCGGCAAAGCAGAUGUCCCUUCUAUCUCAAAUCCUAAUCACUAAUACCCGGGUCAGGGCAUAUAUGUGUGCCAACUCAAGUGUACAACAUUAGUGUGUGAGGAAGCAUACAAACCUUUUCUUAAAAAUAAAUUAUCACCCCCAAAAACUGCAAAAUAAUUAAACAGAGAGUUCACAAAUAAUAAAUAAAAUAAAAGUAAAGCAUAUAAUAAUGGUAAAAAAUAUGGCAAACAAAAUAUGGGAUUAGCGGCUCUGGGCCUGACCCUCUUAUGGGUGUCCCCAGUGGAGUCACCAGCUGUCGCGACCUGAUUUUCGGUUAGAAGACCGACUCUAUGACUUGGGAGGAGGCGAACUCGAUUUCUACCCCUUCCAAUUGAUUUGGAGUCGCCACUACGUUUUUUGCAGUUAAAACGUAGAAAACUCUCUAGUAAGCCUAAUUAGAAUAAAAUGGUCUUUAGACAGAGAUUCUGAGCUCGGGAGUCGAUUACAGAUCGGGAAAGGUAUUAGCUCCCCAUCUGCCCGUAUUAAAAUGGUACCCUCGCUAAUAACAUGGACUUUUAUACCCUUAACAAUUAUUUAUUUAGAAAUUAAUUAUCNNNNNNNNNNNNNNNNNNNNNNNNNNNNNNNNNNNNNNNNNNNNNNNNNNNNNNNNNNNNNNNNNNNNNNNNNNNNNNNNNNNNNNNNNNNNNNNNNNNNUUUAGCCGCUUUGGUUAAUUGUUAGAGAUUUAGAAAAUAUCGAUAAGUUUAGAAAUAUUAAUUUAUUGAAUUUGUUAAUAUGUAGUUGUUCUGAUUUAAUAAGACUAAUAGUUUUAGAGACGGUGUAGGUCGUGAACCUUCUGCUCAUUUUCAUGGGAGUUAGAGAUGACUCGAACCAUAACCUUACUAUAAAAAUCCCAUAAAAUUUAUUUGAUAAUAGUUUCUAAUUAUUCGUACAUAUAGAAUUUGGGUGAUAAAAUAGUUUAUUAAUUAUAUAUAUAGAAUUAAUAGUUGAGAUGGUGUUGGUUGUAGACCUUCUUCUCAUUUUCGGAGAAGUUAGAGACAACUCGAACCAUAACCUUACUAUAAAAAUCUCAUAGAAUUUAUUUGACAAAAUAAUUUCUCAUUACUUAUAUUUAAAACAAAUUCCUCUUAACUAGAUUUUUUAUUGCUAAAUAAUAGUUUAAAUCUUUUAUUAAAAUAGGUAUCGAUGGGAUUUAGAUCAAUGUAUGCGAUCAUCACUUAUAAGACAUAUCAACUAAUUUCAUUAUGCUAAAAUUGCCUAAAUCACUACGACACAGAUAAGACAAAUAAACGUAAGAGGAAAAUAAAUAAAUAAAUAAAAGUGAAUUAGAUAAAAGAAAGAAAGGUGAAUUAUAUGAUAAAGGGGUUAUCCCUGCUGCUUGACGCAGACCCCAAGUGGAGCAGAAACAAGGAAAUGAAAUCCUUAGGGCACCAAUUCCUUCUCUUUCUUUCUACGAGGUAACGGCAGUGUAGGUUUAGAAUCUUUAAUGGUUGGAUCGAAGCUGAUUGAGGGGUGUCAUGGACAUAAGUCGCAUCAACCAGGACGACUUCCUUCAGUGUUACGCGAUGGACCAGAGGAGAGGUAGUCGUCCUCCUCAUCCUCACGUUUAUGAUUCAUUUUCAAGAAUAAUAGCUAUAGAUACUUGGUGUACUCGUUGUGUGAUUUUUAAUUAGAUGUGUGAGGAAUGUGUUAAACUUCAUAAAGGUGCACUAUUUAAUUCUAGAUUCGUUAAGAAGCAAGAUAUGUUAGUAUUAAGCUGGUAACAUUUCAUGGUUUUCUUCAUAAUCGUUCCAGUUACGUCCUUUGAAUAUAUGAUAAAUCGUUAUGGAUUAAACCCUCAACUUAGAUUAUUGAU